CCUUAGGCUGAUUAGUGCACAUGUAAGAAAAGAUGAUACUACAUUGUUAUUUAUUAUAGUGAUAUCCUGUUAUUCACUUAAUAUUGUCUUCUAUAGGAAAAAAUAUUUUUCUUUCUCUGUUGUGAAAAGUCGUAAUUCUCAGGAAGUGAAUAUAGAGCCACAUGGGCUUUUAUCCACAAGACUGGAUACCGUGUAGCAUUUAAUCAGAGUAGCAGCAAAACUGUAUGUGAGGCUGCAAGUGAACUUGCAAUAUCUCCAGGCACAGCAAAACAAGUUAAGGACAAAACAAGGUCUGAUCAAAUACUGCUUCACCCUCUGCUCUUGGUUUUGCUUUCUAUUGUUGAAUGAAGUCAAAUGCAGUGUUUUAUUUGAAUGCUUUGUGCAGUGUUUCUACAUUUUAAGUUGUAACAGUAAACACUAUCAUUUAUGGUCACACUGGAGAGCUUUACUGUUUAUAUACACAUGCAGUAAGCAUGUGUAAAUAAGCAGGUGAGCAAGAGCUCACAGGCCUUUAUGAGUGCAUAAAACAAAGGUGGAGAUGACAGCUGCCACCUCUCUGCAAUAUACUGCAUAAACAAGGUAUUGUCUACAAGUCUCUCAUCACUGUUUGGGAUCACCUCUCCUGCCCUGCUUGCCUGUGCUUCAUGGUGUGGCUCCCUGUUGGGCUGCAUAAGCAGGUGAGGGCACUAAUCCCUAUGGGUGAAAGAAGGUGGCUUACUCAUUCAGUGGCAGUGAGAUGUGAUUGCUCAAACUCAGCAUUGCAGUGCAGCUUUCAAAACAAAGGGGAGGCCCCUCAUUGUCUCUCACUUUGGCAAAGGAUUUGGACAACAGGUUUUGGUCUCGUGGCUGAUACAACAUGGAUUGAGUGGAUGCUGUGGUCCCAGUCUCUGCUACAUGGCUUGACCCAAUACAGACAACCAUCUGCUCUGACCAUGGCAUUGGUACCAGACCAACCCACUGUUUCCCAGCAAAGAACUUCAAAUUUCCCUGUUUUUCUUCUCAAAAUGUUCCUGAGCUUGACUCUCCCUACGUAAUGCCAACCCCUCUCUGCAUUUCCUUCCUUGUUUGUUUAUUAAAUCUAAA
This 1083-nucleotide long non-coding RNA is filed under the name Numida meleagris (helmeted guineafowl). Its description in RNAcentral is "lncRNA (ENSNMEG00000000230.1)". Lineage: Eukaryota; Metazoa; Chordata; Aves; Galliformes; Numididae. The record is from RNAcentral.